GGAAAGGCGCGCGAUACAGGGUGACAGCCCCGUACACAAAAAUGCACAUGCUGUGAGCUCGAUGAGUAGGGCGGGACACGUGGUAUCCUGUCUGAAUAUGGGGGGACCAUCCUCCAAGGCUAAAUACUCCUGACUGACCGAUAGUGAACCAGUACCGUGAGGGAAAGGCGAAAAGAACCCCGGCGAGGGGAGUGAAAAAGAACCUGAAACCGUGUACGUACAAGCAGUGGGAGCACGCUUAGGCGUGUGACUGCGUACCUUUUGUAUAAUGGGUCAGCGACUUAUAUUCUGUAGCAAGGUUAACCGAAUAGGGGAGCCGAAGGGAAACCGAGUCUUAACUGGGCGUUAAGUUGCAGGGUAUAGACCCGAAACCCGGUGAUCUAGCCAUGGGCAGGUUGAAGGUUGGGUAACACUAACUGGAGGACCGAACCGACUAAUGUUGAAAAAUUAGCGGAUGACUUGUGGCUGGGGGUGAAAGGCCAAUCAAACCGGGAGAUAGCUGGUUCUCCCCGAAAGCUAUUUAGGUAGCGCCUCGUGAAUUCAUCUCCGGGGGUAGAGCACUGUUUCGGCAAGGGGGUCAUCCCGACUUACCAACCCGAUGCAAACUGCGAAUACCGGAGAAUGUUAUCACGGGAGACACACGGCGGGUGCUAACGUCCGUCGUGAAGAGGGAAACAACCCAGACCGCCAGCUAAGGUCCCAAAGUCAUGGUUAAGUGGGAAACGAUGUGGGAAGGCCCAGACAGCCAGGAUGUUGGCUUAGAAGCAGCCAUCAUUUAAAGAAAGCGUAAUAGCUCACUGGUCGAGUCGGCCUGCGCGGAAGAUGUAACGGGGCUAAACCAUGCACCGAAGCUGCGGCAGCGACGCUGAUGCGUUGUUGGGUAGGGGAGCGUUCUGUAAGCCUGCGAAGGUGUGCUGUGAGGCAUGCUGGAGGUAUCAGAAGUGCGAAUGCUGACAUAAGUAACGAUAAAGCGGGUGAAAAGCCCGCUCGCCGGAAGACCAAGGGUUCCUGUCCAACGUUAAUCGGGGCAGGGUGAGUCGACCCCUAAGGCGAGGCCGAAAGGCGUAGUCGAUGGGAAACAGGUUAAUAUUCCUGUACUUGGUGUUACUGCGAAGGGGGGACGGAGAAGGCUAUGUUGGCCGGGCGACGGUUGUCCCGGUUUAAGCGU
This 1168-nucleotide ribosomal RNA is filed under the name Escherichia coli. RNAcentral describes it as "partial 23S ribosomal RNA". It matches the Rfam family "Bacterial large subunit ribosomal RNA", at positions 344 to 1519 of the family's 2925-position model. The record is from RNAcentral. Lineage: Bacteria; Pseudomonadati; Pseudomonadota; Gammaproteobacteria; Enterobacterales; Enterobacteriaceae.